Molecule: unclassified non-coding RNA, 307 nt
Organism: Erinaceus europaeus (western European hedgehog)
Lineage: Eukaryota; Metazoa; Chordata; Mammalia; Eulipotyphla; Erinaceidae
Gene: 7SK
Rfam family: 7SK RNA
About the family: 7SK was discovered as an abundant small nuclear RNA in the mid-70s but a possible function has only recently been suggested. Two independent studies have found that 7SK RNA binds the CDK9/cyclin T complex (known as elongation factor P-TEFb). P-TEFb activates transcription by phosphorylating the C-terminal domain of RNA polymerase II.
Source: Ensembl
ACAAGUAAGGACGAUCUGGCUGUGACAUCUGUCACCCCAUUGAUCGCCAGGGUUGAUUCAGCUGAUCUGGCUGGCUAGUUGGGUGACCCCUUCCUCCCUCACUGCUCCAUGUGCGUCCCUCCCGAAGCUGCGCGCUCCAUCGAAGAGGAGGGCCUUCCCCAAUAGAGAUGAGCCAGUCUUCGGCUGAGGGUAUAUGAGUAGCUGCGCCCCACUACUAGAACCUCCAAACAAGCUCUCAAAAGCCAUAUUAGGGACAUAACAUUAGGAUAGCAGGAGCCAGGAGGGAAAGUAAUAGACCCGUGAGAUU